Molecule: ribosomal RNA, 468 nt
Filed under: uncultured bacterium
Lineage: Bacteria
Description: partial 16S ribosomal RNA
Rfam family: Bacterial small subunit ribosomal RNA
Source: RNAcentral
GACGAACGCUGGCGGCGUGCUUAACACAUGCAAGUCGAACGGAAAGGCCCUGCUUUUGUGGGGUGCUCGAGUGGCGAACGGGUGAGUAACACGUGAGUAACCUGCCCUUGACUUUGGGAUAACUUCAGGAAACUGGGGCUAAUACCGGAUAGGAGCUCCUGCUGCAUGGUGGGGGUUGGAAAGUUUCGGCGGUUGGGGAUGGACUCGCGGCUUAUCAGCUUGUUGGUGGGGUAGUGGCUUACCAAGGCUUUGACGGGUAGCCGGCCUGAGAGGGUGACCGGGCAACAUGGGAACGGAGUUAGGGCCCGGACUCUUACGGAAGGCAGCGGGGGGGAUAAUGGCACAGGGGAGGGAGGCCAAAUGCGGAAAGCCGGGUGGCGGGAGGAGGGCCUUCGGUUGGAAAACCACUUUCGCUGUGAAGGAGGGGUAGUGACGGGAAAUGGUUAAGAAGGCACGGCUAACUUAGUG